This 565-nucleotide ribosomal RNA is filed under the name uncultured Ceratobasidiaceae. Its description in RNAcentral is "eukaryotic LSU rRNA". The stretch from base 145 to 298 matches the Rfam family "5.8S ribosomal RNA". Lineage: Eukaryota; Fungi; Basidiomycota; Agaricomycetes; Cantharellales; Ceratobasidiaceae. The record is from RNAcentral.
CUCUUUCAUCCACACACACCUGUGCACUUGUAGACGGAGGGACAAGAAUUUAUUUAUUUAUUUUUUUGGCCUUCCGUCUAUUUAUAAUACACAAACUCAUUUAUUUUAAACUGAAUGUAAUUGAUGUAACGCAUCAUUUGAACUAAGUUUCAACAACGGAUCUCUUGGCUCUCGCAUCGAUGAAGAACGCAGCGAAAUGCGAUAAGUAAUGUGAAUUGCAGAAUUCAGUGAAUCAUCGAAUCUUUGAACGCACCUUGCGCUCCUUGGUAUUCCUCGGAGCAUGCCUGUUUGAGUAUCAUGAAAUUAUCAAAGCAAGUCUUUUUGUUAAUUCAAUUGGUUUGCUUUGGAUUUGGAGGCUCUUGCAGAUUUACUUCUGCUCCUCUUAAAUGCAUUAGCUGGAUCUCAGUAUAUGCUCGGUUCCACUCGGCGUGAUAAGUAUCACUCGCUGAGGACACUGUAAAAGGUGGCCGGGAAAUACAGAUGAACUGCUUCUAAUAGUCUAUUUAAUUGGACAAUUAAUUUUUAAGAUCUGAUCUCAAAUCAGGUAGGACUACCCGCUGAACUU